This 381-nucleotide ribosomal RNA is filed under the name uncultured eukaryote. RNAcentral describes it as "partial 18S ribosomal RNA". It matches the Rfam family "Eukaryotic small subunit ribosomal RNA", at positions 592 to 977 of the family's 1831-position model. The record is from RNAcentral.
CAAUAGCGUAUAUUAAAGUUGUUGCAGUUAAAAAGCUCGUAGUCGGAUUUUGGCAUCACGCCGAACUGUCUGCCGAUUGGUAAGUACGGUUUGGCGGGUGCUUCUUUCUUGAAGCCCGUUCCCUUCUUAACUGAAGGGUUCGUUGGUUCAGGUUCUUUUACUUUGAGAAAAUUAGAGUGUUCAAAGCAGGCCUAUGCUCUGAAUAGGUUAGCAUGGAUUAAUAGAAUAGGACUUUGGUUCUAUUUUGUUGGUUUCUAGGACCGAAGUAAUGAUUAAUAGGGACAGUUGGGGGCAUUCAUAUUCCAUUGUCAGAGGUGAAAUUCUUGGAUUAACGGAAGAUGAACUUCUGCGAAAGCAUCUGCCAAGGAUGUUUUCAUUGAC